Long non-coding RNA from Dermochelys coriacea (leatherback sea turtle), 2480 nucleotides. RefSeq lists it as uncharacterized. The record is from RefSeq and is a predicted model, not a curated record. Lineage: Eukaryota; Metazoa; Chordata; Testudines; Dermochelyidae. The transcript has 4 exons.
GCUGCGAAGCGCGCCUGGACUUUAGCAGACCGCGAAGGGCGUCAGAGGCGGCAGCUGCGGGGCGCGGGGAGGCUUGAACUAUUUGGGGGCGACCCGCGCGGCGCAUCGCCGUUUUAAAUCCCUCCCCAAGAUCCCUGGCACGCCGGAGCUGGACGGGAAUGGAGUUCCAGAACCACACGCCAAAGGCCCCGGGACUGAAAGGAGCAGUUUAAACCCAAAAGCAACCCCAGCCCUACAAACGGGGGAUAAAGGCCACAGCUUCCUUGUAUGUACAUGGAUCUUCCAGUUGAAGAUCCAUGCAUAUGGAGAGAGAACAAUAAUGGCAUCAACAUUCCCUCCGCACUAAGGAGAACUUUGCUCCAAGUAUCUCACCGCUGAAUGUUUUGUCCUCCUAUGUUGAGCAGCACGGCAAGUUGGCUCUCAGGGUUCAUUUCCUUUGGACCCCCAAAUCCAGGGCCUGAUACUGCAAGGAUCCUGGAUGCCUCUUGAGAUGAAGGGGAUUUCUUCAUUAAAGUGCUGAGAAAAGUCCAGAGUAACAUGAUUUCCUGUUGAGAUUCUCUCAGAAGUUCCUCUGCUUUUCUUGGGACCAUGUGAACCAUGCAGAGUCAGCAGCCGUGUGACACAGCAAGAAAUAAUCUGCCCAGCUCUGGGGUCAAAAACAUUUCUAUCCCACAAGACGAGAAGGACAAUAGGGUUUAUUUUCCCCUUUAUUUAUUUUUAUUUAUUUAUUUAUUUAUUAUUUAUUUGAUGCAUCUCAGAAGCAAUAUACAUCCCAUCUUCUCUGGAAGAACUGUUUCACACUAGCAAGUUCAAGCUUUUUCGUUAGCGACUGUGGACAUCUUUCUAAAAGCAAUGCUCUUGUUCAGCCACAUGUUCCUGGGUGGAAUUUUAUGGCCCAAAUUACGCAGGUCCGAUUCGUUGAUACUAAUGGUCCCUCCUGUACAUACAUGGAGGGAUAAUAUAAUAAAUUCUGGCUCCGGUUGGCUAACCUCCCCUAAAUUGCCGCAUGUAGGCAGUGCAACCUAGCGGUCAGAGCAGAAUCAGCAGGCAGAGCCAGGCAAGCCAACGGCUGGAGCCGGAAGUCAGAACAGAACCAAACGGGAUAGCCUGAGUCGUGGUCAGGAGGCAAGCCAGUGGUCAGAGCCAGGAGGCAGGCAGGGACUAGGCUGGAGCAGAGCAGACAAAGGGCGGAGCAUGGCCUAGACAGGAAGCAGGUAUGGGGCAGCUGCAGGCAUGGGGCACAUUGAGCAGCCACCGUGUUGCUGUUGCUACAGGGUUUAUAUAGUGAUCUGUUGGCUCUUCUGACCAACCACGAAGCACAGUCACUUAGUGCAGGUUUAUUGGGACUAGCCCAGUCUGGAGGCAGCUGAGUUCCUGGCACACACGUUGCAAAAGUGACAACAUCAUGUGCUCACCUGCUCCGAUGUCACCAACUCUCAUGGUUUUAACAUGCGUCUCACAAUAGUUGGUCUUUCUUUCAAAGCUCCAGCUCCUGGAGUCAUGGGGUUAAACGUUCAUUACAAAAAUCAAAGCAAGUUUCUAGCUCUCAGGUUUGUGCAGAACAGCUUGAAAAUAUGACCCAAGUGCAUCUAAAAGUCUAGCAGGCAAAUGAAAAUAACCCGUUUUUAAAAAAAAAAGCAUGAAUUUUAUGCCAUUCUCAUGAUUUUAAAGCGUGUGACUUAUGAUGUGUGUAUAUUUGGGAUUGGCACUAAUGGCCCAGCCUGACAUAAAGCUCAUUUGAACACUGUAAUGCCAAGAAUAGGAAUAAUUUAAGGAGCAAUUGCAUGCAAGCAAUUGUAUAUGUGGGGAAAUGACUUUCCCCCUUCAUUGGUUAAGCUACUGGACUUUCAGCAUAAGGGAGUUCGAUGUAAACCAACGUUCAGAGAAGGUUUGUUUAGAAAGGUGAGGGACAUGAAGAAGCAGAAAAGGCUCAGUUUCAUCAUGGUCCAGUUCCUUCCAUGAUGAAGCCAUGGAAUACCCACAGAGGAGUUUCCUCCACAACCUGGGGAGGAAGCAGGAUCAAGGCAACCUGUUUUUUGCUAUGCAUUGCAGUCACCAAUCAGGAUCUGGCUCAGAACCUUCAGGCUGCAGCUAAGUCUUGCCAAAGCAUUUUCCAGAUUGUCUGAAAGUUAAUGAGCUGACUUACUUUUUUUUUUCUUUUUAGCAUAUUGGCUUAAACCAUCAAAGAUCAAAUAUCAUGGGAAAUACUGAGAAUUAAUGUAACAUAAUGUAACUAUUGGCCUUUAUCCAUCCAGGGUCUUUUCCUGGGGUUAUUAAUGCCUUUGCGAGGGGAAUUCAGGGACACAUGCCUUCUCUUUUAAAACAUCUAUGUGGAAUUUUCACAGAAAAGAGAAGCAGGUAUUUUAAUGAUUUUGUACAAUGACUGAAUCAAAAUUGAAAAUACCAUGGUCUCAUUUUAACAUGGUAUUCUGGUUAUCUUAUGACACAACAAGGAAGUAGAUACAAGCCAGCAUUUUUCA